Molecule: transfer RNA, 71 nt
Organism: Cavia porcellus (domestic guinea pig)
Lineage: Eukaryota; Metazoa; Chordata; Mammalia; Rodentia; Caviidae
Rfam family: tRNA
About the family: Transfer RNA (tRNA) molecules are approximately 80 nucleotides in length. Their secondary structure includes four short double-helical elements and three loops (D, anti-codon, and T loops). Further hydrogen bonds mediate the characteristic L-shaped molecular structure. tRNAs have two regions of fundamental functional importance: the anti-codon, which is responsible for specific mRNA codon recognition, and the 3' end, to which the tRNAs corresponding amino acid is attached (by aminoacyl-tRNA synthetases). tRNAs cope with the degeneracy of the genetic code in two manners: having more than one tRNA (with a specific anti-codon) for a particular amino acid; and 'wobble' base-pairing, i.e. permitting non-standard base-pairing at the 3rd anti-codon position.
Source: Rfam
GGGGAUUUAGCUCGGUGGCAUAAGCGCCUGCCUUGCAAGCAGGCAGUCGUGGGUUUGAUCCUCAGUACCGA